GGUCCUGUGGCCUAAUGGAUAUGGCGUUGGCCUCCGGAGCCAAAGAUUGUGGGUUCGAUUCCCAUCAGGAUCG
This 73-nucleotide transfer RNA is filed under the name Cordylochernes scorpioides. Its description in RNAcentral is "tRNA-Arg". It matches the Rfam family "tRNA". From Rfam's summary of the family: Transfer RNA (tRNA) molecules are approximately 80 nucleotides in length. The record is from RNAcentral. Lineage: Eukaryota; Metazoa; Arthropoda; Arachnida; Pseudoscorpiones; Chernetidae.